AAAUAGUUUAAUUUUUAUUUUUAUUUUCUUUCAUUUCUCUUUGUUCUCCGUACGAAGAAAACAAAGUAGUCUCAGAUUCAAUCUGCUUGGCUUUCCUCAAAUUCUCAGAUUUGAUCUCUAGCCACUGUCGAUUGAAGCUUCACCACCACACUCUUUUUGAAACCGUCGCUCAUCACCACCAUCUCCAUCCCUCUCAUCCGCCAUCUCUCUCUCUCUCUGAUUUUGUUUUGAUUUUACAGGAAGGUGGGUCGUGAGCAACUAGAGAUUUCCGCCUCGCCGCUGCUAGGAUGCUAUAGUCACUGCCAACACCUCACUCUCAUUCUCUCCCUUCUCCGGUGGUGGCGUCAAUUCGAGCUCGAUGAUUGUUCUCAAGAAAGAAGAUGAAUUCGCGUUACCAUACUCACUCCUCCUUCCUCAAGCUUCCUCAUUUCUUCAGGCCAAAGUGGGUGAGUUGAUUUGGGAUAGCCUUGCAAAUAACGUCAUUGAAGAGCUCCAUGCAUCACUCUGCAAAGAUGGAUUGCUGAAAGAUUGCAAGAGUCUGUAAAAUCUUUCUCUGCAUAACAAUCCAUUUCAAUGGAUGAGUUUCAGCUGCAAUGGUGUAAAUGUAUAUAGAUAGAAGGGCUGGACCUUGAAGACUGUCCUGAAAAAGAGCCUCUUGGUCAUGGGUUCUAUGCAUACUUCACUAUAGCAACAAGGAUAACAUUACCAGAUUUCAUCACCGAGUUUAUCUGUUGUAUUUUGCAAUGAGUUCCUGUGUUUCAUGGAUUGAUUUUGUGUGUUUUGAAUCUUUAAUGAAAAAACUUAAGGUAUUCUAUGCUUUAGUUGUGUUUUAUUAGAGUAAAUUUUAUUUAUUAAUCUUAAAUAUACCCUAAAAAGGAUAAAAAUGAUAAUUUGAGUUUUGAUAAAAAAAAUAUUUUUAUAUAUAAUAUUUUUAGAGGUGUAUAUCCUAAACACUAAACCCCAAAACUUAAUUCCAAACCUUAUAUCAAAUUUCAAACCAUAAACCCAAAAUUUAACCUCAAAUCAAAUCCAAAAUCUAAUCAUAAAUCUAAAUUCUAAACCUCAAACACUAAAUCUUAAAAAUUUGAUUUAUAAAGAACAUUUUUUUAUGAUUGUUCAAUAAAUUUGAAAUAUCAUAAUAAAAUAAAGAUUAUGUUAUAUCAAAUCUCUACAUCACAUCAAAAUUAUAUUUAUUGGUGAUUUACUUGUGUUAUUACAGUGAAUUAUAUUUAUUAAUGAUUUUAAAAGCAACAAAAAAAACUUUUUUUAUCUUAAUAUGAUAAAGAGAAAAUCCAACACUAAUAAUAAAUUAGAAAAAACAAAAAAAUUACCUUAAGUUCUAAACCCUAAACAUGCCCUAAACCCUAACUACAUAUUUCAAAUCCUAUAUCUUGAAUUUCAUUUUAUACGUAUAUCUUCAACUUUAAACAUUUUAAUCCAAACACUCAGAUUAUAUAUCAUACAGAAAUAUUCAAGUUUAAACAUUAUAAUACAAAACCUACAUAUAUCCAUAGCCCUACUUAUACUCCAAACCCUAUAUCAUAUUUCAAACUCUAUACAAAAAGUAUUAAAUCAUAACAUUUUAAAUUUAUAACACCUUUUUAUACUAAAUUAUGAAGUUAUACAAACUAUAAAAUCUAAAUAAAAUCAAUAUAUUCAUAAUAUAACUUCAAUCUCUAAACUCCAAACCACAUACCUCAUAUUGACUUAUAUCACAUAAAACAUUAAAUCUUAAUUUUUAAUCAAUCACACAAUUUGAAAAUUUAAAUACAAAAUACGGAUUAAAAGUUUUAAAUUAUGAUAUCAAAUUAUUUAAAGUUUAAAUAAUUUUACAAUAAUUAUAAAUAAAAAAGAAGAUAAAUUGUACUAUUUUUUUUUGAGCCAUUGAUUGAUUUUUAAAUCAAAGGUCCAAAAUCAAUCUCCUAUCUAUCUUCACCUUUGUUUUCUAUUGAUUAUGCGCGGAUCACCCUCUGCACCGUUAGAUCAUACUGAAUCAACGCUUGAGAUUUGUUUUUUUUUUUCCAAUUAUUUUCUGAGAACAGAUCGCGUUCGAGAGAGACAGAGGUCAAAAAAAAAGAGAAAGAGGCGACUGGGUAAGCUGUGCUCGAAGCCCUAGCAAACCUCGGCCUCCUUCUCUUCUUCUUUCUCGUCGGCCUCCUUCUAUUCUUCUUCCUCGUCAGCCUCCUUAUCUUCUUCUCUUCUUCUUUCUCUAAACUCUCUGAUUUUCGAUAUAUCUCUUCAUAUUCAUGCUAAGAACUGAUAGAUCUGUGUUGUGGUUGUCGAAAUCUGAUAGAUUAAGGUUCUCUGAUUUUGUACUGUGUUUAAACUCUUCAUAUACUUGCUGUCGAUUUGCUGUUAAAAAAAAAUCUGAUUUGUUUUGACGAUUUGGAUCUGAUUAUAAUUGAGGACGAUCGAUCUGUUUCUAUUGUGUUGAAUCUGAUUUUUUUUUUCUAUUUUGGUUAUUGAAUCUAAGUCUGAGACUAAAAUCGAAAUUUUGAACAAGUCUGAUUUGAUUAAUCUGUUCUGUAUUGCUCAAGUUUUGAUUUAUACUUGUCUUUGGUUGAAUUCGAAAUUGAUCUGAGAAGUGUGGAUUUGAUUUUCGUUUUGAUCUGUUUCUGUUAAAGUCUAAGAUUGAUCGCUUCUUUUCUAUUGUUUCUGUUUCUGAUUAUCAACUUGUUUCUGAUUAUCAAUCUGAUUUAUUAAGAUUUGAAUUUCGUUUCGAGUCUGUCUCUGUUGGCAAGUUGAUUGUUUGUUUUCUUUUGAACUUCUUACUGCUGUGUGUUGCUGUAUGAUCCCUACUUCGCAGUCACAUCCACAGGAAAACUUGCUUUUUGUUGCUCAAGAAAAUCUGAAAGUCUGGUUUUGGAUUCAGCGCCUUGUACAAGUAAUGGCCAGAACAGAAGCUUGUGAAGGAUGGUUUCAUCAUCAGGAAGCCAACCAAAAUCCACUGUCCUGAAGAAAUACCGAGAGUCAAAGAAGAUUGACAAGUACAUGUACCAUCAUGGUACUACCAUGUAUCGAACAUACAAGGCGACAGAGAAACUCUGAUGUAUGCUGCAGAGGACUCGAUAGGAGGCUUAGUUUAGCUUUAGGUUAAUUAUGUUUUGGCUAAUUUUGUUUUGGUUUAAUGUUUUAAUUUGUUUAUGGUUUAAUUUGUUCUUUAGUUAUUUGUAUACUGAUUUCAAUUAAUAAAUAAAAUUUUGAUUUUAAA
This is a long non-coding RNA of Brassica napus (rape), 3211 nucleotides long. RefSeq lists it as uncharacterized. Lineage: Eukaryota; Viridiplantae; Streptophyta; Magnoliopsida; Brassicales; Brassicaceae. The transcript has 4 exons. The record is from RefSeq and is a predicted model, not a curated record.